CCAACGGCCCUCUUUAGGGCCACCAAAAUACGUUUCAGACAAAUG
Non-coding RNA from Haemonchus placei, 45 nucleotides. NCBI's taxonomy places the organism in Eukaryota, Metazoa, Nematoda, Chromadorea, Rhabditida, Trichostrongylidae. The record is from Rfam.